This 468-nucleotide ribosomal RNA is filed under the name uncultured bacterium. RNAcentral describes it as "partial 16S ribosomal RNA". It matches the Rfam family "Bacterial small subunit ribosomal RNA", at positions 28 to 507 of the family's 1533-position model. The record is from RNAcentral.
GACGAACGCUGGCGGCGUGCUUAACACAUGCAAGUCGAACGGAAAGGCCCUGCUUUUGUGGGGUGCUCGAGUGGCGAACGGGUGAGUAACACGUGAGUAACCUGCCCUUGACUUUGGGAUAACUUCAGGAAACUGGGGCUAAUACCGGAUAGGAGCUCCUGCUGCAUGGUGGGGGUUGGAAAGUUUCGGCGGUUGGGGAUGGACUCGCGGCUUAUCAGCUUGUUGGUGGGGUAGUGGCUUACCAAGGCUUUGACGGGUAGCCGGCCUGAGAGGGUGACCGGCCACAUUGGGACUGAGAUACGGCCCAGACUCCUACGGGAGGCAGCAGUGGGGAAUAUUGCACAAUGGGCGGAAGCCUGAUGCAGCAACGCCGCGUGCGGGAUGACGGCCUCCGGGUUGUAAACCGCUUUCGCCUGAGACGAAGCGUGAGUGACGGUAAUGGGUAAAGAAGCACCGGCUAACUACGUG